Molecule: long non-coding RNA, 849 nt
Filed under: Homo sapiens (human)
Lineage: Eukaryota; Metazoa; Chordata; Mammalia; Primates; Hominidae
Description: HSALNT0336567
Source: RNAcentral
UUGUUGGAUUUUUCUUGUUUAUACCACAUAUUUCUACCUUUUAUGGAAAAUUCAAUAUAAGCAAUAUAUGUGGGUUAUUUUAUGGUAUCAAAUUUUUUGUAUUCAUAAAAAUAGCAAAACCAGAUUGCUGUUAAUGCUCUUCCAUUCUUUGCUCUGGUCACUAGGAAACCGGAAGAUACAUUUCCAUCCAAAGCCCAGAUGAUUUACAAACUGGCAGAAUACACUGCUAUGUGCUAACCUUAUCUGAAACUUUAAUAUGCCCUAACUUUAUUCUCUGUUUUUCCACAGCUCUGUUUGAAUCAUACACAUUUUCUGGCACUCUGAUUUUUUUGCAGAAUCAGGCAGGAGACAGAUGGGUAGUCUGGGAGAUGACUCACUUUCUAAUGAAUUGUGGCAGACAUUGAGUUUGAAAGGUCCAGAGGCUCUCAAGCAGCAGUCCUAAUUACCAUCAGAGAGAACAGCACAGUAUCCUCUGAAAACCAAAACCCAAAUCAUCACUCUUGGUAGGUAUUCCCUAGCAUUCAGAUGGAACACACUCAAUAACUUCAUUUAACAGGAUAAUUAACUUAGUUAUCUGCGCCCAUCAGGAUGUAAUGUGGCUCUAAAACAGACCUUUCUCAGGAGCAACACUAAGGCAAAAGUAACUUCUUUCAUACUCUAUGGCAUGGAACUCUGGACCUAAGCCAGUACUCAGUCAUGCAUUUGAGAAGAUCCAAAGUUGCUUCUUGAAGUCAACAUAUAUCCUCCUGACAGGGAACCCUACAACUUACUUUCUUGAAAAGUAGGAGGGCAUUCCAACUGGGUAUGCAAACAAUCUGGAUCUUAACAUUAAAGAAAAAAAAAAAGUCA